CCGUGGUUCUCAGCCUCGACCGUCCACUCUCCCAUCCGAGCGGCUCCCCCGCGGUCCCUGGCUUCCCAUGGUCGCCGCGACCCAGCCAUGGAGCUUCCCCGCCGCUCAGCUCGGAGUUCCCACGGCUCGGUUCCAGUUCCAUGCGCGCGCGCUGAGCUCGGCGUUCUCUGUUUCCCCAUGGCCAAGCGCCCUCCGCCCCUCCCGCCCUCCAGCUCGACGGGCUUGGCUUCGAGCUCGCCCAGCUCGGCCGUCCUCCAAGUUUCUCCCUCCUUCCAGAAGCUUUCCCCAUGGCGCCCGGCUGGAUUUCCCCUCGGCUCGCCGCGCCCCUGUUUCCGUCGGUGUUUCUUCCACGGCCGCGCGCGAAGCUUUUCUGCCGGUGCGCGCGCCCGUCUCCCAUAGCCGCGGCGUCCUGGCUCCUGCUCCCUCGCCAUGGCCGCGGUGCUCCUCCCUGUUCGCCACGUUUCUGUUGCGAGCUCGUCCCUGGCACUGGGUUUCCUACCUGCAUCGCGCGUCUUCUUCCUCAGGCUCGCGCCCUUGCUGUUGUCGCGCCUGGCUCGCCCCUGUGCCGCGCACCGCUUCACCAGCUUGCCCCUUCCCUUGCCAAGCAGGUCGCCACGCCCAACCGAGUUUACCCCUGCGCGCAACCGUGGGUUUCGCUGCACAGCGUUCCUGCUCCCCAGCCUGCGUUGUGCUCGCCAGAUCGAGUCCCGCGUCGUCGAUCUACGCAGUUCCUGUUCGGCUAUCGGUUCCGCCUACGUCGAUCUCCUAAUUGCCAUGGAUAGUGUAUCGACGUCCCAUCACAAUAGCCCGUCGUAAAACUCUAGUGCUUGUCGUUGAUAUCCGGUCGUCUCCAGCCUUUGUCUUACCGUCGUCGUUCGGUCACCUCGUCUCGAUGUCGGUCCCUACGUGAUGUCUCCGAGUUUGAAUCACGCUGACAAAAGAAUUCCCAAGAAA
This is a long non-coding RNA of Zea mays, 954 nucleotides long. RefSeq lists it as uncharacterized. Lineage: Eukaryota; Viridiplantae; Streptophyta; Magnoliopsida; Poales; Poaceae. The transcript has a single exon. The record is from RefSeq and is marked validated.